Molecule: transfer RNA, 75 nt
Filed under: Actinocrispum wychmicini
Lineage: Bacteria; Bacillati; Actinomycetota; Actinomycetes; Pseudonocardiales; Pseudonocardiaceae
Rfam family: tRNA
About the family: Transfer RNA (tRNA) molecules are approximately 80 nucleotides in length. Their secondary structure includes four short double-helical elements and three loops (D, anti-codon, and T loops).
Source: Rfam by way of RNAcentral
ACCUCCAUAGCUCAGUUGGACAGAGCGUAGGACUUCUAAUCUCAAGGCCGCAGGUUCGAUUCCUGACUGGGGGCU